AACCAUCUUCCAAAUCUUCAACUGAAGCAGAAAGUGUACCUAAACUAAAGUACUUGUUUUUAGUGGCUUAAUGCUAGAAAUGGGUCCUAACUCCACUACCCCAAAACAAAACAAGGAAUUCCCAGAAAUGGGACCAGCAUGUUUUCCAAUCACUCUAUGAGGCCCCAAUUGUCAUGCCUUCAAUUUCAACCAUAGCACCCUCCCAAUAUUAGCUUCCCCUGC
Molecule: long non-coding RNA, 222 nt
Filed under: Glycine max (soybean)
Lineage: Eukaryota; Viridiplantae; Streptophyta; Magnoliopsida; Fabales; Fabaceae
Description: long non-coding RNA (GMAX_LNC003094)
Source: RNAcentral